GUACUUCCUUUGGCAGCACAUAUACUAAAAUUGGAACGACACAGAGAAGAUUAGCAUGGCCCCUGUGCAAGGAUGACAUGUAAAUUUGUGAAACGUUCCAUAUUUUU
Molecule: small nuclear RNA, 107 nt
Organism: Dipodomys ordii (Ord's kangaroo rat)
Lineage: Eukaryota; Metazoa; Chordata; Mammalia; Rodentia; Heteromyidae
Source: Ensembl